CCUACGGGUGGCAGCAGUAGGGAAUAUUGCUCAAUGGGGGAAACCCUGAAGCAGCAACGCCGCGUGGAGGAUGAAGGUUUUAGGAUUGUAAACUCCUUUUGUGAGAGAAGAUAAUGACGGUAUCCCACGAAUAAGCACCGGCUAACUCCGUGCCAGCAGCCGCGGGAAUACGGAGGGUGCAAUCGUUACUCGGAAUCACUGGGCGUAAAGAGUGCGCAGGCGGGUUUGUAAGUCCGAUGUGAAAUGCUGUAGCUUAACUAGAGAACUGCAUUUGAAACUAUGAGUCUAGAGUGUUGGAGAGGUAAGUGGAAUUCGUGGUGUAGGGGUGAAAUCCGUAGAUAUCGAGAGGAAUACUCAUUGCGAAGGCGACCUACUGGAACAUUACUGACGCUCAUGCACGAAAGCGUGGGGAGCAAACAGGAUUAGAUACCCUAGUAGUC
This 440-nucleotide ribosomal RNA is filed under the name uncultured bacterium. Its description in RNAcentral is "partial 16S ribosomal RNA". It matches the Rfam family "Bacterial small subunit ribosomal RNA", at positions 338 to 795 of the family's 1533-position model. The record is from RNAcentral.